RNAcentral lists this ribosomal RNA (496 nucleotides) under uncultured bacterium. RNAcentral's name for it is "partial 16S ribosomal RNA". It matches the Rfam family "Bacterial small subunit ribosomal RNA", at positions 28 to 506 of the family's 1533-position model. The record is from RNAcentral.
GAUGAACGCUGGCGGCGUGCCUAAUACAUGCAAGUCGAGCGAACGGACGAGAAGCUUGCUUCUCUGAUGUUAGCGGCGGACGGGUGAGUAACACGUGGAUAACCUACCUAUAAGACUGGGAUAACUUCGGGAAACCGGAGCUAAUACCGGAUGAUAUUUUGAACCGCGUGGUUCAAAAGUGAAAGACGGUCUUGCUGUCACUUAUAGAUGGAUCCGCGCUGCAUUAGCUAGUUGGUAAGGUAACGGCUUACCAAGGCAACGAUGCAUAGCCGACCUGAGAGGGUGAUCGGCCACACUGGAACUGAGACACGGUCCAGACUCCUACGGGAGGCAGCAGUAGGGAAUCUUCCGCAAUGGGCGAAAGCCUGACGGAGCAACGCCGCGUGAGUGAUGAAGGUCUUCGGAUCGUAAAACUCUGUUAUUAGGGAAGAACAUAUGUGUAAGUAACUGUGCACAUCUUGACGGUACCUAAUCAGAAAGCCACGGCUAACUACGU